Molecule: small nucleolar RNA, 83 nt
Organism: Betta splendens (Siamese fighting fish)
Lineage: Eukaryota; Metazoa; Chordata; Actinopteri; Anabantiformes; Osphronemidae
Product: small nucleolar RNA snR60/Z15/Z230/Z193/J17
Source: Ensembl
CCAAUGCUGUGAUGAUUGCAUAGUUCAGCAGAUAACUGUGAAGAAACAACAGCAAAGUCUUUCGCUCCUAUCUGAUGCAAUGG